Molecule: long non-coding RNA, 3904 nt
Organism: Gorilla gorilla gorilla (western lowland gorilla)
Lineage: Eukaryota; Metazoa; Chordata; Mammalia; Primates; Hominidae
Exons: 4
Source: RefSeq, a predicted model, not a curated record
UCUCUCUUGCCGCCACAAUGUAAGAAUUGUCUCUCACCCUCUGCCAUGUAAGAAUUUUCUUUCACCCUCUGCCAUGAUCGUGAGACCUUCACCAGCCAUGUGAAACUUUUUCAGCUUUCCUCCACUGUUUUGGGAAACGUCACCUUCUUAUCUUGGAAGAGUAAUCUCAAAAUUGAAGCAUCUUAGAUCCAACAAGAAUUAAAAGGAUGGGAUGUCCUUGCAGCCAUCCAGUAGAGUCAGAAGACUUUGGAUUUUGGAGUCUGUGAGAUGAUGUACUCACAUCCCAACAAAUUGAAAAUGCUGACCAAUCCCAGCACAGCCAACUCGAAUUUGCUCCUUCAUCAAAGUGACCAGCACCUCAUUUCUUCCUCUUUAGAAUUUAUAGAUAUUCAAUUUGACACCCAGACAACUUUCAAGAGCUCAGUUGCUAUUCCAUCCUCUUCCUGCUGUGAUUUCAGCAUCUAAAAUUCCUCCUUAUCCUGUGAAGUGAAGCUGGGACUUUGUCAUAAGAGGAAGAAAAGGGCAAGGGAAGGGUCUGUGAGGGUGAAGAGUGCUGGAGAAUAACUCUUUCCCUGGCCCCAUCUUCCUCGGCACUACUGAUCUUCCAGGAGAAUUCUAAGACUUUUGGCAUAUAAGCAUCAUCUGACUCCUGGAUAAUCUCAGGCAUUUCUGAAUAGCAUGUUACCUGCUAGGAUGAGCCGUUGCUACACUAAUAUACUGUCUUUGAACCAAAUUUCCCCAUGUUGUCAGCAUUGUACAUUCCUCAACUGCAAGGAUCUUCUACUAAUUCAGAGAAUCAUUGAUGGGAGUUUGCUUUAUUACUUAGUUAUGCACUAGCAAAGAGACCUAGUUAAAAACAAAUGGAGGAGUAUACCAUGGUAUUACAGGGAAUACCUCUCGAAUACCCAGUAUAUUUGUGUGACAUGCAGUUUCCUUGGUAACUCACAGAAUCCGGAGCAGGAGGCACCGUGAACCUGUUCCCACAGAGAUAGAGGACGGUGGUUGUAGGAGUCUAUAGUUUCUUCUCCACAUUGCUGAAAUACAUAGAAAGAUUGCUCCUAGCCUACUUUUAUACCUAUGCAAUAGAGAGAAAAUCACUAGAAGAAAACUCUUCUGACAGCAUGACUCUACAUUCAAAUAUUCAGAAGGAUGAGUUGUAUGAUUUACAUUAAUAUUCACUAGUCAGAGAUUUGCUAGAUUCUUCUUUUGGGUUCUGCCAGAUUAGAUACAUGUGGACAUUUUGAAGAUUCUCUAAGGGAGCAACCAAAAUGUUUCAUUUAGAAAAUCACAUUCUGUAUGGAGAAGCUAUUGGAAUAGGGAUUCUUUAACCUACAGAAAAAAAUUGGAAAGUUUCUCAAUGUCUGAAAACAGAUUUUGUUGUUUCUAGUUAUGUGAUUGGAUUGAAAUGUCAUACACAUUGAAGUGUUCAUGGUACUUAGGAUCUCACACACACACACACACACACACACACACACACACACACACACAUAUGUUUCCCCUUUGGUGGGGAAGGGGUAUUGAUAAUAAAGACAAGAAAAAAAAAAGAUGAGAACUCCUGGAACUUGAAGAACAAUAAAAACCUCAUACUGAUUAAUUAAGAAUGAUAGCUUGAAGAUUUUCUUUUAAGUCUCUAGUUUCCUUUAUGACCUAAGGGGAGGAUUUUAGCCUCAUCCUUUACCUGAUGGAGUAAACAUCUCAAUUCUAGCUUACAGUGACCCUGCAGAUUUUGUAUUAUAUAAGACUGCCUCACUUAAGUCUGCUUCAUAUGGGAAGAUAGACUGAAUAUUUUGUUCAGGAAAUUGAUUGGAAGUAGCUUGGGGCCAGUUCUUGCUUGUCAAUCAUGUUUUUGUGUUUUUAAGAUAAUACAUCUGUUUUUUCCUUCUUAGCCUCUGACUAAUAGAUGAUCAUAAAAUUGAAAAACAACUGAAAUUAUGUGUAGCAGCAAGCUUAGUUAUAUUAAGCAUGUAUGAGAAACGUGCCAACUUACAAGGACUCAAUGUGAGGUGUUUGUGUGGCAAUUCAACAAUAUCGAUUUAUUCUGAAGGAAUUGAGGUCAGCUAUGGAAAAGCAAUUCAAUGGCCAGAAAACUAUUUCCAGUAUUUUCUUAGUAAAGAGUGCAUCUCUUCUUUGUAAAGAGAGGAACAUGUUAUUUUUAGUAAUUUGAGAACUAGUGCAACAAGAAAAUACAAAACUGGAGAAUCCCAUGAGGUGGUGGAUAAAUGAAGCUCUGUUACACCCAGUCUUACCUUAUGGAGCACUGUUCAUCCAUAUCUGGCCUGCCUCAGCUGACAGGGUUGCUACAACAUUCUCAAGACAUGAGUGGUAUUUCCCAUAAAAUACCCAUUUACAAGCACAAUUCUGUUUCCUACUUUCCUCCUGUACUGACACUCACUAGGUUGUGUGGCACCUGACUGUUUGUGCCCUUCUGAGUUUUUGUUCAUCCUCUUUCCUUCCAGCCUACCUCCUCCCUCCUUCUGAAUUAAAUUCCUUCUUUGUCUAGCUAAAUAGCUAUGUUAAAAGGCAGAAAGAAUAAACUUGAACCAUAGAGAAAAAAAUAUUUUAUGAGAACAGUGAUAGGUUUAACACAUCCAUAAACGGAAAUGAUUUUCACAACUGAGGGUUAUAACUAAACAUGUGAUGGGUCUGAAGACUCCUGAAGCAAUGCAUUUGGAAGUAUUGAAGCAGGGACCCUUGUAAGAGCUACACAAAUGCUGCGUAACUCACCAUGCUACUUAAUGGAGUACAAUAGAAACUCUCUUUAAGUGCCGCUAAAUUCCCUUAUUACAAAAUGGUUUUACAUAUGAAUUGAAUGAGAACUUCUCCCGGAGACUGAAAAUCAGGGGGAAAUGAGACUGGGAAUGAUUCAUUCCAUCAUUCCAUAGAUGGAAUGAAUACUAAAUAUUUCUUUUUAAAAUGAAGAUGUACUAAGAUAAUGACAUCUGCCAUCUUGAUUUUGAGAGAAACAACAUGAAAUCAUUACAGGACAUGGAAUUUUGGAAGAAAAUUCUUACUACCGUGCUAUGGUCCAAAUGUUUGUGUCUCCUCAAAAUUAAUAUGUUGAAAUUCUAUUCUCAAGUCAAUGGUAUUAGGAGUUGGGGCUUUGGGGAGGUGAUUAGGUUAUAAGGAUAGAGUUCUCAUGAGUGGGAUUAGGGCUUUUAGAAACGAGACCCCAGAGAGCUUGUUCAACCCUUCAGCCGUGUGGGGUUACCCUGAGAAGACAGUCUUCUAUGAGGAAGUGUGUCAUCCCCAGAUGGUGAAUCUGACAGUGCCUUUGUGUUAGAAUUUCCCACCUCCAGAACUGUGAGAGAUAAAUUUCUGUUGUUUGUAAGCCACUCAGUCUAUAGUCGUUUGCUAUAGCAGAUCAAAUGAAUUAAGACAUAACCGUCAUUGUUUGACUGGCAUCUUUUCAGUGCAAAAACAGAAAUUUCACUGGGAUUGUUUUCAAUGUGGGAGUUUAAAAUUACUGCCCGUAUAUGCUAAUGGUAGCAAGUAAAUGGGAGGCUGUAACAUUUUGACUCAAAACCUGUAGAAUAGAAAAUAAUAGAUAUUUGGGUGCUUGGCUUGAAAAUUGAAAACUGUGAAUAAACCAUGAUUUUUUUUUUUUUUUUUUUUGCUGGGCACAGUGACUCGCGUCUGUAAUCUCAGCACUUUGGGAGGCCCAGGUAGGCAGAUUGCUUGAGUCCAGGAGUUCAAGACAAGCCUGGGCAACAUAGCAAGACACCAUGUUAAAAAAAUACAAAAAUUAGCCGGGCAUGGUAGCACGUGCCUGUGGUCCCAGCUACUUGGGAGGCUGAGGUGGGAGAAUAGCUUGAGCUUGGGAGACAGAGGCUGCAGUGAACCAAGAUCGCAGCACUGUACUCUACCAUUGCUAUCUAGCCUGAGUGACAGAGCAAGACCCUGUCUC